CGAAAGCCUGACGGAGCAAGACCGCGUGAGGGAGGAAGGCUCUUGGGUUGUAAACCUCUUUUCUCAGGGAAGAACACAAUGACGGUACCUGAGGAAUCAGCCUCGGCUAACUCCGUGCCAGCAGCCGCGGUAAUACGGAGGAGGCAAGCGUUAUCCGGAAUCAUUGGGCGUAAAGCGUCCGCAGGUGGCACUUCAAGUCUGUCGUCAAAGACUGGGGCUUAACCCUGGAAAGGCGGUGGAAACUGAAGCGCUAGAGUGUGGUAGGGGUAGAGGGAAUUCCCGGUGUAGCGGUGAAAUGCGUAGAGAUCGGGAAGAACACCAGUGGCGAAAGCGCUCUACUGGGCCAAAACUGACACUGAGGGACGAAAGCUAGGGGAGCG
RNAcentral lists this ribosomal RNA (380 nucleotides) under uncultured Cephalothrix sp. RNAcentral's name for it is "bacterial SSU rRNA". It matches the Rfam family "Bacterial small subunit ribosomal RNA", at positions 376 to 770 of the family's 1533-position model. Lineage: Bacteria; Bacillati; Cyanobacteriota; Cyanophyceae; Aerosakkonematales; Aerosakkonemataceae. The record is from RNAcentral.